AACAAGGUCUCCGUUGGUGAACCAGCGGAGGGAUCAUUACAGAGUUGCAAAACUCCCACAAACCAUCGCGAAUCUUACCCGUACGGUUGCCUCGGCGCUGGCGGUCCGGAAGGCCCUCGGGCCUCCCCGGAUCCUCGGGUCUCCCGCUCGCGGGAGGCUGCCCGCCGGAGUGCCGAAACCAAACUCUUGAUAUUUUAUGUCUCUCUGAGUAAACUUUUAAAUAAGUCAAAACUUUCAACAACGGAUCUCUUGGUUCUGGCAUCGAUGAAGAACGCAGCGAAAUGCGAUAAGUAAUGUGAAUUGCAGAAUUCAGUGAAUCAUCGAAUCUUUGAACGCACAUUGCGCUCGCCAGUAUUCUGGCGAGCAUGCCUGUUCGAGCGUCAUUUCAACCAUCAAGCUCUGCUUGCGUUGGGGAUCCGCGUCUGACGCGGUCCCUCAAAAACAGUGGCGGGCUCGCUAGUCACACCGAGCGUAGUAACUCUACAUCGCUAUGGUCGUGCGGCGGGUUCUUGCCGUAAAACCCCCCAAUUUUAAGGUGACCUCGGAUCAGGUAG
Molecule: ribosomal RNA, 554 nt
Filed under: Sordaria tenerifae
Lineage: Eukaryota; Fungi; Ascomycota; Sordariomycetes; Sordariales; Sordariaceae
Description: eukaryotic LSU rRNA
Rfam family: 5.8S ribosomal RNA (bases 230-383)
Source: RNAcentral